GACAGAGGUGCCGAGCGUUAGGCGGAAUCACUGGGCUUAAAGCGUGUGUAGGCGGAUCGUUAAGUACCUUGUGAAAUCCCCCCGGCUCAACCGGGGAACUGCUGGGUAUACUGGCGAUCUUGAGCGAUCUAGGGGGCAGAUGGAACAAGUGGUGGAGCGGUGAAAUGCGUAGAUAUCACUUGGAACGCCAAUGGUGAAAACAGGUAGCUGGGAGUGUGCUGACACUGAGACACGAAAGCCAGGGGAGCGAACGGG
This 255-nucleotide ribosomal RNA is filed under the name uncultured bacterium. RNAcentral describes it as "partial 16S ribosomal RNA". It matches the Rfam family "Bacterial small subunit ribosomal RNA", at positions 524 to 776 of the family's 1533-position model. The record is from RNAcentral.